Molecule: long non-coding RNA, 369 nt
Filed under: Gallus gallus (chicken)
Lineage: Eukaryota; Metazoa; Chordata; Aves; Galliformes; Phasianidae
Source: RNAcentral
CAGAGCUGCCUUCCUCCUGUCCUUUCUGGGGGCUUUCAGCAGACACCUCUGUUGUGGCAGCUGGACUUCUGACUGGUGAUGUGGGACUCUGAAGCCUUCUCCCAACUUCUUCCAUUUUCAGCAGGAGACUGGUAACCACUGCUAUAGCCCGGUACAACAGUUCCUCCUCAGGAUCUCCGUGGAAUAGAUUGUACAGAGUUUUUGAGAACUGGAUGAACUGAGACUGAUUCAUUCUUGGCAAAUCCUUAAUGUUUUCUUCUUUUUUAAGAAGUUCAUCUUGCCAUUGCUUCAGAUAGGCCUGAAUAUCAACCUUGCCCUUCCCUUUUUCUGGGCUGCUCUUCAAAGCAUCACUUUCAAGACUAUCCCCAG